RNAcentral lists this ribosomal RNA (1425 nucleotides) under metagenome. Its description in RNAcentral is "bacterial LSU rRNA". It matches the Rfam family "Bacterial large subunit ribosomal RNA", at positions 1478 to 2925 of the family's 2925-position model. The record is from RNAcentral.
UUGGAAAGCGGAAGCCGGGAAUGGAAAGCCCGGUGCAAGCGGGGUACCAGUCACUUUGGCAAAUCCGGGUGGCAAUGGGAAGCCGUGAUGCGGAGCGAAAUAAAGUAGCGAAGUCCGUGAGCCAUGCGUCAAGAAAAGCCGCUAUCGUUUAUACCGUACCCGUACCGUAAACCGACACAGGUGGAUGAGGAGAGAAUCCUAAGGCCGGCGGAAGAAGCAUUGUCAAGGAACUCGGCAAAAUGGCCCCGUAACUUAGGGAUAAGGGGUGCCUGGGAAACCAGGCCGCAGAGAAUAGGCUCAAGCAACUGUUUAGCAAAAACACAGGUCUAUGCGAAACCGAAAGGUGAGGUAUAUGGGCUGACGCCUGCCCGGUGCUGGAAGGUUAAGAGGAGAGGUUAGCGCAAGCGAAGCUUUGAAUUUAAGCCCCAGUAAACGGCGGCCGUAACGAUAACGGUCCUAAGGUAGCGAAAUUCCUUGUCGGGUAAGUUCCGACCCGCACGAAAGGCGUAAUGAUUUGAGCGCUGUCUCGACAAUGCAUCCGGUGAAAUUGAAGUACCAGUGAAGAUGCUGGUUACCUGCGCCAGGACGGAAAGACCCCAUGGAGCUUUACUCCAGUUUGGUACUGGGACUCGGUAUUGCAUGUACAGGAUAGGUGGGAGGCUGAGAGACAGUAACGCCAGUUAUUGUGGAGCCGCUGUUGGGAUACCACCCUUGCAGUAUUGGGUUUCUAACCAGCCGCCGUGACCCGGCGGUGGGACAAUGCCAGACGGGGAGUUUGACUGGGGCGGCGCCUCCGAAAGGGUAUCGGAGGCGCCCAAAGGUUCCCUCAGAAUGGACGGAAACCAUUCGUAGAGUGCAAAGGCAGAAGGGAGCUUGACUGCGACACCGACGGGUGGAGCAGGUACGAAAGUAGGGCUUAGUGAUCCGGUGGUAUUAAGUGGGAAUGCCAUCGCUCAACGGAUAAAAGCUACCCUAGGAUAACAGGCUUAUCACUCCCAAGAGUUCACAUCGACGGAGUGGUUUGGCACCUCGAUGUCGGCUCAUCGCAUCCUGGGGCUGUAGUAGGUCCCAAGGGUUGGGCUGUUCGCCCAUUAAAGCGGUACGCGAGCUGGGUUCAGAACGUCGUGAGACAGUUCGGUCCCUAUCCGGCGUGGGCGUAGGAUAUCUGAGAGGAGCUGUCCUUAGUACGAGAGGACCGGGAUGGACGGGCCGCUGGUGCAUCGGUUAGACUGCCAAGUCUACGGCCGAGUAGCCAAGCCCGGAAGGGAUAAACGCUGAAGGCAUCUAAGCGUGAAGCCCCCCUUAAGAUGAGAUAUCCCAUUCGAAAGAAGUAAACCCCCUUGAAGACGACGAGGUAGAUAGGACAGAGGUGGAAGUGUGGCAACGCAUGGAGCUGACUGUUACUAAUCGGGUGAGGGCUUGACC